RNAcentral lists this ribosomal RNA (219 nucleotides) under Triticum aestivum (bread wheat). RNAcentral's name for it is "partial small subunit ribosomal RNA". The record is from RNAcentral. Lineage: Eukaryota; Viridiplantae; Streptophyta; Magnoliopsida; Poales; Poaceae.
AUGAUUGUGGCCGCUGCGGAUAAGAACAACGUCAGGCUUCACCCGUGUCUUAUGAGACGAUUCCGCCGCUUCAUGGCCGACAUGGAGCUACGUGAUCUAUACUUGCAUGGCAGGCGCUACACAUGGUCGAACGAGCGCGAGAACCCAACCCUAGUCCGCAUAGACAGGGUGCUCUGCACUAACACCUGGGAAUCUGCCCACCCAACCUGCUUACUAUGA